AUGAAAUUUUCAUAUACGGCUCUUAGAGGGGGACUAGGGUUAGUUACCUAUCUCAAUAAAGUAUAUGAUUGGUUUGAGGAACGUCUUGAGAUUCAGGCAAUUGCAGAUGAUAUAACUAGUAAAUAUGUUCCUUCCCAUGUCAACAUAUUUUAUUGUCUAGGGGGAAUUACUCUUACUUGUUUUCUAGUACAAGUCGCUGUCGGUUUUUCUAUGACUUUUUACUACCGACCAAUCAUUACAGAGGCUUUUUCCUUGGUUCAAUACAUAAUGACCAAGUCCAACUUUGGUUGGUUAAUCCAAUCAGCUCAUUGA
RNAcentral lists this ribosomal RNA (312 nucleotides) under Triticum aestivum (bread wheat). RNAcentral describes it as "partial small subunit ribosomal RNA". The record is from RNAcentral. Lineage: Eukaryota; Viridiplantae; Streptophyta; Magnoliopsida; Poales; Poaceae.